CCUACGGGCGGCUGCAGUGGGGAAUAUUGCACAAUGGGCGAAAGCCUGAUGCAGCAACGCCGCGUGCGGGAUGACGGCCUUCGGGUUGUAAACCGCUUUCAGUAGGGACGAAGCGAAAGUGACGGUACCUACAGAAGAAGGACCGGCUAACUACGUGCCAGCAGCCGCGGUGAUACGUAGGGUCCAAGCGUUGUCCGGAAUUAUUGGGCGUAAAGGGCUUGUAGGCGGUCCGUCGCGUCAGAAGUGAAAACUCAGGGCUUAACCCUGAGCCUGCUUUUGAUACGGGCGGACUAGAGGAAUGCAGGGGAGAACGGAAUUCCUGGUGGAGCGGUGGAAUGCGCAGAUAUCAGGAGGAACACCGGUGGCGAAGGCGGUUCUCUGGGCAUUACCUGACGCUGAGAAGCGAAAGCGUGGGGAGCAAACAGGCUUAGAUACCCUAGUAGUC
RNAcentral lists this ribosomal RNA (445 nucleotides) under uncultured Friedmanniella sp. RNAcentral's name for it is "bacterial SSU rRNA". It matches the Rfam family "Bacterial small subunit ribosomal RNA", at positions 338 to 795 of the family's 1533-position model. Lineage: Bacteria; Bacillati; Actinomycetota; Actinomycetes; Propionibacteriales; Nocardioidaceae. The record is from RNAcentral.